CGAGAUGUAGGCUAUUACUAACCUAGUUUUCUUUGGAGGAACGUGGACCCAAUGCGCAUCAGGCUCCUGUCAAUGUCUCGGGAUUUGCCAUGUAAUGAAUAUCCAUUCCCAAAAUGGCCCGGAGACAAAAUAAAACAACAUUUGAUGUCCACGCUGAAGUAUUGUCACAUUAAUUCCACCAUGGCCUUCCAGUGACACUGUGUACUUUCAGACCGUUUUUGACAAAGCUCAGGCUUGCGUUUUGGUGUAGCAGUCUUGGCUCCAACAUAAUCUCCCAAGACUCAACAGUCUGCAGCCCAAGUUUAUCCAGAGGGGGCUGAGGCUUCUAGCCCCAUCGUCAACCCCUGUCUCCACUCCCUCCUUUCCCAACAGGAGAACUGUCAGUGACCCCUUGCUGACUCCACUGUCCCUAAUCCUUUAAAUGUGGGCAAAGCCUGAAAUGAUGAGGAGUUGGGCUUCACCACAGGUGAUGUCCUCUACCUCUUCAUGUUCCCCCAUGGUCAACGGGAUCAGGGUAAAGUCAAAUAGAUCCCAUAGAAGUCUAAUGGGAGAGAGAGGGGGCAAGAGGCAAACCCCACACAAAGUAGUCAGCUGCAGGAUAACAGAGGAAUUCUGACAAAUCAGGGGUCCAAGUGAAAUAGAUGCUGCGGGAAUAUUCCUUCUGUUUCUUAUUCUCUUCCUUGAAGUCCGUUUAAAAAGAGAUUGAGAAUAGGGAACUUGAUUGUACACAAAAGGGAAAUUAAAUUAAAGUGUCUGGUUUUCAUUCUGACUGUGAAUGCUGCUUGAAAGUAGAUGGUUGGACUGGGUACAUUUGUUGCUCAGUGCCUUAUUAAGGGAUUAAGAAACCAUUUAGAGCAAUUAUCUGCCCCAAACUGACCAAACUAACUUGUUUUGAGUAGGGCAUUGUUGUCUGUUGGUGCAGUUCUACAAAAAGCGAGAUGUUUGUAUGGAUUAAGACAUGUGAUGUGUAAGAACUGUUGUAAUGGUAAUAGCACAUGUUAUACAUACUGUACAUCAAGUAGAAAAUUGGUGAUUUUAACAGUUGAUUUUUGUUUUUUUGUGAUCCCAGCAACCUGGUUUCAUGGCAACGUUUGAUCUGGGAUCAUGGUAUAAUGUCUACAAAACAAAAUACCCACCCAUUUGCUGCACACACUAACCUUUUUAAAGGAUUAUAUUUAUAUAGAUGUUCAUGCUGAUUACAACCCAUAGAGUCUGAUGCUACCUCUCUCUAACACUAUUUGUCUAGCACUGGCAUAGUGCAUCCCAUGUAUACACAUAUGCAUGUGUACCCCACACACACACGACUCCCCAGUUCUAAGGUCACUUCGGCCUCACUGCACAACCACUACAGAACCCCCCUCCCCAUCCAGGGAGACAUAUUUAAUUUAAUUAAGGCCUGUCAGCGCUAUUGAUUUUGGCACUUUCAAUUACCGCCGCCUGUUUAAGAGGCUGGAAGGGCUCUGGAUCUACUGAUCUGUGACGAGGGAGUCCUAUCAGUGCGGGACCACAUGGACGGGAAGGCUCUUUGUCUCUCUUAUGGGCUACCACUGUCUGCCACCCCUGCUGAUAUAUGGCUGCCGCGCCAGCCCGGUUCCCCUCCUGCUCCUCAUAAUUAAUUCCUCAUUAGACAGUUUUUUAUUGUUUAAUUUGUGCAGGUCAUAAUCAAAUUGGGCAGAUUAAUUGCUACAAAAUCGAGAGGGGAAGGUUUGAAAAAUAACCCUUCUUAUUUGGCUUUGCGUUUUUGAACACCCCCUUUGGCUUUUCAUAUAGCCACGGGCUUAGUAAAUUAUAACUCCACAAGUAUAUUGCUCUUGCACUUUUUGAGUGAUCCACAGUGGAAAGAUGAUCUGGCUGAAAACUGUUGCCUCGAAGCAGAAACACAUUCAAAUGUUUCUCAGUGAUAUAUUUUCCCUUGCAGUCCUAAUUGUAAAAGUCAACCUCACUAAUUUUUGAGUUUAUUUAUGGCAGUGGCCUUUUGCUUAUGGUUUGUUUGUGUGUUUGUGCUCAGUGAUCAGUGAUGGGAAUCAUAACAUGUGGCCAGCUAG
Molecule: long non-coding RNA, 2045 nt
Organism: Osmerus eperlanus (European smelt)
Lineage: Eukaryota; Metazoa; Chordata; Actinopteri; Osmeriformes; Osmeridae
Exons: 3
Source: RefSeq, a predicted model, not a curated record